CUUUAUUAAUUUCUUAUAUAUAAUUUAUAUUAAAUAUAAAAAUAUAUUUUUUAAAUAAAAAGACGAUAAGACCCUAUUAAAUUUUACUUAUAGUUUAACUGGGGAAGUUUUAAAAAUAAAAUUUUUUAUAAAAAUAAAAAUAAAUCUAAUAAAAUUAAAAUUAAAUUAAAUUACUAUAGGGAUAACAGCAUUAUAUUUUUUAAAAGUUCAUAUUAAAAAAAAUGAUUGUGACCUCGAUGUUGAAUUAUAUUUUCUUUAUUAAUGCAAUAAUUAUAAAAGUAGAUCUGUUCGAUCUUUAAAAUAUUACAUGAUUUGAGUUCAAACCGGUGUAAACCAGGUUGGUUUCUAUCUUUUUAUAAAUUCAUAUAUAUAUAUAUAUAUAUACAUAAAUUUUUCAAGUACGAAAGGAAAAAAAAAUUUUUAUUUUAAUUAAUUAGCAAUUAAUAUGCAUUAGAUUUAGAAUCUAAAUAAACUAUU
RNAcentral lists this unclassified non-coding RNA (477 nucleotides) under Anelosimus eximius. Its description in RNAcentral is "partial contains tRNA-Leu and 16S ribosomal RNA". The stretch from base 57 to 354 matches the Rfam family "Bacterial large subunit ribosomal RNA", at positions 2074 to 2646 of the family's 2925-position model. The record is from RNAcentral. Lineage: Eukaryota; Metazoa; Arthropoda; Arachnida; Araneae; Theridiidae.